GGCAGCUGUCUGCUAUUUGUGUGACAGUGCACAUCUUUGCCAGUAAACUGCUUUUGCUCUGGGUUGUGCUGUGUCUGCUGUCUGCUGGGUUACUGGGAAAGCUGCCAGGGACAGAGCGACUGCUUGCACUGAGGUGGCUGGGUAGCACCUCUUGUAAUCCAUGUUUUGUGUGGUGUAUUGAUUGGGAUUGUGGAUAGGCCCUGGGGGAUGAACAUCAACACUGAGUUCCAGAGCCUGACAUUUUAAUCAGCAACAGGUUUAGCAGCUGGGAGCAACUGGGUAAUGCCUGCUUAGGAAAAGACAAUUGUACCAGAUGAAGCCAAAAACCGUAAGGUGAUUAUUGCUUUAGCAGCUAUACGUUAACUAAAUAUGGGACAUAACUGAGUAGCCUAUGGCAGAACUGAGACCAGUUUGAAGUGAAGCUGUAGGGUUGAAAAAUGACCAACCCAGAAACAACAGUGAAGGUUAUCCUAUAACAAGCUGCAUAGCACUGAGUAUUAGCUUUCCCGUGGUGAAACCAGGGAUCCCAGCACAGUUCUGUCCACACUGACAGUGGUUGUGAUAGGUGACUUUCUACCUGCAAAAUAGAACUUACAACUUCACUUACAAAUGUGAAUGACACUGAGUCUGCUCCAGAGGCAGACUUGAAAGAACAUUCAUCUGCCGUGGGUAAGAAGACAGAAAACUGCAGAAGUUAUUCCCAAAGUGCUGCCUGCCUUCUAAUUGCUGGCCAGCAGCUUUUGUGAAAAGAGGUAAGAGAAUCAUUUCAUGCAAAUGUGAGUGCUUGCAGAUUUCUCUUCUGGGGAAAAUGUUCUUUCCUCUCUCUUUUUCAGAUGUUUAAAAGGAGCAAAGCACCACAUCAGAACUGAGAGAAAGGAAAACCGGUCAAUGUCACCUUGGUGUCUGAUGAUGAAAGACAAGAGCAAAGCCAAACAAGGGAGCAGCAAAGUACACAGAAGAGAUAUCUUCAGCUGUUACCCAACAUUUCUGGAUGUGGGUGAGGAGUUAGGCAAGUCAAAACUGUUCCUGGGUGUUAGAUAAGGAGAAGUGUCCCAGCUCUAUUAAUAUCUUCUCUGGUCCCAUCAAUGGCUUUACUCUGAAAAACCCUUUCUGCUCCAGAUUUGAGACUCCA
This 1132-nucleotide long non-coding RNA is filed under the name Coturnix japonica (Japanese quail). Its description in RNAcentral is "lncRNA (ENSCJPG00005017660.1)". Lineage: Eukaryota; Metazoa; Chordata; Aves; Galliformes; Phasianidae. The record is from RNAcentral.